Molecule: ribosomal RNA, 802 nt
Filed under: uncultured Prochlorococcus sp.
Lineage: Bacteria; Bacillati; Cyanobacteriota; Cyanophyceae; Synechococcales; Prochlorococcaceae
Description: bacterial SSU rRNA
Rfam family: Bacterial small subunit ribosomal RNA
Source: RNAcentral
CAAGUCGAACGAACCUUCGGGUUAGUGGCGGACGGGUGAGUAACGCGUGGGAAUCUGCCCUCAGGAGGGGGAUAACGGUUGGAAACGACCGCUAAUACCCCAUAUGCCGAGAGGUGAAAUGAAUUUCGCCUGAGGAUGAGCCCGCGUCUGAUUAGCUUGUUGGUGAGGUAAUGGCUCACCAAGGCUUCGAUCAGUAGCUGGUCUGAGAGGAUGAUCAGCCACACUGGGACUGAGACAUGGCCCAGACUCCUACGGGAGGCAGCAGUGGGGAAUUUUCCGCAAUGGGCGAAAGCCUGACGGAGCAACGCCGCGUGAGGGACGAAGGCCUCUGGGCUGUAAACCUCUUUUCUCAAGGAAGAAGAUAUGACGGUACUUGAGGAAUAAGCCACGGCUAAUUCCGUGCCAGCAGCCGCGGUAAUACGGGAGUGGCAAGCGUUAUCCGGAAUUAUUGGGCGUAAAGCGUCCGCAGGCGGCCUUUCAAGUCUGCUGUUAAAACGUGGAGCUUAACUCCAUCAUGGCAGUGGAAACUGAUUGGCUUGAGUAUGGUAGGGGCAGAGGGAAUUCCCGGUGUAGCGGUGAAAUGCGUAGAUAUCGGGAAGAACACCAGUGGCGAAGGCGCUCUGCUGGGCCAUAACUGACGCUCAUGGACGAAAGCCAGGGGAGCGAAAGGGAUUAGAUACCCCUGUAGUCCUGGCCGUAAACGAUGAACACUAGGUGUCGGGGGAAUCGACCCCUUCGGUGUCGUAGCUAACGCGUUAAGUGUUCCGCCUGGGGAGUACGCACGCAAGUGUGAAACUCAAAG